Argentina anserina (silverweed cinquefoil) is the source of this 457-nucleotide long non-coding RNA. RefSeq lists it as uncharacterized. Lineage: Eukaryota; Viridiplantae; Streptophyta; Magnoliopsida; Rosales; Rosaceae. The record is from RefSeq and is a predicted model, not a curated record. The transcript has 3 exons.
GGAAGGGAGUUCACCUGUUACUUUUGCAAUAGCUGCAUGUGAAAUACAAAAUGUAAUUUUCAGCGUUUUGCCGUGUUUUGGUUUAUUUGAAGGAAGUAGUGUUAUGGCGAAAGGAAUGUGGGACAAAAUGGUGCAGGACCAUGCAUGUCUUCCUCACCUGGAGAGACACUGCUGCAGUUCCAGCUACUGCUUUGGUAGAACCCCACGGGAAGUGCACUGUUGCUUUUGGUCUAUCCUGGUCAUCCCAGAAAGUGAAGUUUUUGAAGGGAAACUCAUAUCCAAGGAGGUACACAAAAUUAUGUGGGACAUCUGAAAAGGCGCUCAAGACUUGGUGCAUAAUGCACUAACAAGUAUGUGUCUCUGGUUUUGACAAGUUCAAUAAUCUACUACGACUUGUUUUAGCACGAUCAGAUUUAGAAUCAUUAUGAUUCAAGAAUCUAACCUCUUGACAUGACGA